Molecule: long non-coding RNA, 1007 nt
Organism: Musca domestica (house fly)
Lineage: Eukaryota; Metazoa; Arthropoda; Insecta; Diptera; Muscidae
Exons: 2
Source: RefSeq, a predicted model, not a curated record
UUCAUAUUAAAUUUAUUCACUUAUUAAGCGAUGUGAAUUGAUAGCGAUCUGAUUCAAAAGAGAAACGCACCAAUAGCGCCUUCAAUAAGAUUAUGUUAAACUGAGAGCAUCAGCAGAAUACAUUUAAAUGUGAUCCGCACAUUCCUUGGAAGUCUUCAUGCAAGGAGAAUGGUGGAAUUAAUAGAGGAAAGGCGGAAAAACAAAAUAUCGAAAAGAAAACUGGCUCGAGAACCAUCGCUGUAUACUCUGACAAAUCAGCAUGAAUAGACUCACGCUUGAACAACUCUACGAAAUUAUCCAAAUUUACUUUGAAAAUCAGGCUCUAGAGCAGUUGGCAAAUGACCCGUUGUUUUAUCGCAAAAUUGUGUUCAGCGAUGAGGCGCAUUUUUGGCUUAACAGGUUUGUUAAUAAGCAAAAUUGCCGCAUAUGGAGUGAAACCGAUCCACAAGAGACCCUACAGACUCCAUUACAUCCAGAAAAAUGCACCGUAUGGUGCGGUUUUCACGCUGGUGGCAUCAUCGGACCUUAUUUCUUCAAAAAUGAGGCCGGAGCACGCGUUACGGUCAAUGGAGAUCGUUAUCGCACCAUGACCAAUGACUUUUUGUUUAAAAAUACGGAUGACAUUGAUCCGGAGGAGAUGUGGUUUCAACAGGAUGGCGCUACGUGCCAUGCGGCGAACGCAACCAUCGACUUAUUGAAAUCAAAAUUACGCGAUAAGUUGAUUUCGAGAAGUGGACCUGUCAAUUGGCCUCCAAGGUCGUGCGAUGUGACACCUCUCCAUUAUUUUCUGUGGGGCUACGUGAAGUCACUGGUUUAUGCUGAUAAACCAGCAACAAUUUACGCCUUAGAGGCCAGCAUUGUUCGCGACAUACGGCCAGCAGUGCUCGAAAAAAUGGCAAAAAAUUGGACGUCCAGAAUGCACUUCGUCAAGAACAGCCGCGGUGCCCAUAUGCCCGAAUCAUUUUCAAGUGUUGAUCUUUCGAAUAAAAAAAAAAAAUUGAUUCAAA